GGAAUGCAUACUGAACAUUGACAAGCUGAUGUCCAGAGGCCAUAUUUUAGUCAACAGAUGCUACCUAUGAAUGUGGGAGUCAUGUAACCAUCUUCUUUUGUGGUGUACUAUGACUUAUGAUCUGUGGUGCAUGAUUUAUGGAGUUUUAGGGAUUAAUUGGAUGAUGGCAGGUACCGUAGGGAGGAAAUUUGUUCUUGUGGUGGAUUAUGUAAGAAAAAAAAUGUAUCAAAUUGAUUUUAUUAACUAUUUUUUGGGUCAUAUGGAAAGAGAGAAAUUAUAGAGC
This 283-nucleotide long non-coding RNA is filed under the name Carica papaya (papaya). RNAcentral describes it as "long non-coding RNA (CPAP_LNC001862)". Lineage: Eukaryota; Viridiplantae; Streptophyta; Magnoliopsida; Brassicales; Caricaceae. The record is from RNAcentral.